AGAGAGAGACAUGCGCGCAUAUCAAUAAGCGGAGGAAAAGAAACUAACAAGGAUUCCCCUAGUAACGGCGAGUGAAGCGGGAAGAGCUCAAAUUUGAAAUCUUAAAGGGUUUCCCUUUACGAAUUGUAGUUUAAAGAAGUGUUUUCUGUUGAGGUUUUGGUAAAAGUUCUUUGGAAUAGGACAUCAUAGAGGGUGAGAAUCCCGUAUUUGACCGUUACUUUCCAGCUUUGUGAUACACUUUCAAAGAGUCGGAUUGUUUGGGAAUGCAGUCCAAAAUGGGUGGUAAAUUUCAUCUAAAGCUAAAUAUUGGCGAGAGACCGAUAGCGAACAAGUACCGUGAGGGAAAGAUGAAAAGAACUUUGAAAAGAGAGUUAAACAGUACGUGAAAUUGUCAAAAGGGAAGCGUUUGACACCAGUGUUGUUUUUCUGAAAAUCAAUUAAAGAACUGUUUAUGCUAAGUUGUUUAGACUUUAUCAGCUAACUGUUUAGUUUUGAGCUUUUCUUUAAUGCACUUUUCAGUUAACAAGUCAACAUCAAUUUCUUUUGCUGUAAAAAAGCUUGAGGAAGGUGGCUUGAGAUUCGUCUUAAGUGUUUAUAGCCUCUUGCCUAUGCAGUCGGAGAGACUGAGGUCUGCAGCGUAGAUCCUUCGGGGCUAAAUGCAUUUGUGCUAAGUUAUAGCAUUUUAUAGACAACUUGUUGACUAUGAUUUGUCUUGUAGCUUACUCGCUUAUGUUAUUUUACCUACGCUUAGGAUGUUGAGCGCAUGUCUCUCUCU
This 775-nucleotide ribosomal RNA is filed under the name uncultured Neocallimastigales. Its description in RNAcentral is "partial large subunit ribosomal RNA". It matches the Rfam family "Eukaryotic large subunit ribosomal RNA", at positions 23 to 616 of the family's 3401-position model. The record is from RNAcentral. Lineage: Eukaryota; Fungi; Neocallimastigomycota; Neocallimastigomycetes; Neocallimastigales.